This 1165-nucleotide unclassified non-coding RNA is filed under the name Hevea brasiliensis (rubber tree). Lineage: Eukaryota; Viridiplantae; Streptophyta; Magnoliopsida; Malpighiales; Euphorbiaceae. The record is from RNAcentral.
AAGCACUACCAACUAAAGGUCAGUGCUCUCGUCAUCCUCAUUUAAAUUGCUACGUUUUCAUGUUAAUAGUUGGAUUUUCCUCUUAUGGGCUUAAAAUGUUUCCGGAAAAAGAUGAAUGUUUUGCUGGUUUUAUAUAUGUGAGAGAAGUGUGGUCUGGUCUCUGCGAAUCGCGGAGUAUUUAUUGGUGUUACAACUUUACUCGCUUCUUAACAAAGAUUAUAUGGACGCUAUGUUUGGGAGAACGUUUUUGGAGGCAAGGGAUGGGGUUUUAAAGUUAUAGGUACAUGGCUAUCUGGGAGCAAGGUUUUUGAAGGAAAAAUCUCCAUUUUUUUCAGCCCACCAAUUUAGGAGGUGUGAAAGUUUUGAUAACAUACCUUCCAUUAUUAUACUACCCACGAGCCCUUGUGGCUCGCUUGGUGCUCUUAUAGCUUCCAAGAUGAUCAUAGACUAAGAGUUUGGUAUUCCUAGUGUUCUCAUGUGUACCAUUAAGGGGAAAAAUGUCUUUACAAGAGUUUGUGAUUCGUGGAGUAGAGAAUUGCAUGUGCUGCUUAUGAUGUGGAUAGAGAUAUGCUAUAUUGAUAUUGAUAGCCGAAUUGAUAUUCAGUUCAUAUAAUUGUUAUAAUUUGGUUAUAAGUAUGACAAGAGAGACAUCAUUUUGGACUUUGUCACGGUGGAUUAUCCAUAUGCUGAUUUAUCACUUCAUUUGGCUUUAUGUAAUUUUUUCAAAUUAUCUUGGCUCAGGGUGCCAUGUUGUCUGAGUAUCUAUUAAAAUUCAAAGUAGUUGUAUUUGGGUUUCCUUGAUGUAUCUUCAUCUUUUGGAACCCUACAUUGUUCAUUUUUACAUGGCGGGAAGCAGAAGGCCACAUUUGGUUCACUUUGGAAAUGGAUGUUUCCUAUUUCUAGACUCCAUUUCAAGGUUCAUUUUAGGGAGGAUAAAAUAUAAUGUAUGUAAUCUUAAAAAUUAUAGUUAAAGUAGAUAUCAUUUUCACCUAGAUUCAUGUUGUUCAAAUAUAUAGAUACUGUAAAAUAUUUAGAUUCCUUCUAUAGCAAAUAAGAAAAUGAUAUCCUAUAUAAUUACGCAUGUUUCCAUUUCCAGAGUGAACCAAAUAUGAUCAAUUUGUGUUGUGCAUCACCUUGUUGUUAGUGCUUCAUGUGUGUGUGUGUG